UUUCUUUCUCUCCGGGGGACAAGAGCUUCCUAACCGUAGGUCUCUCUCCAUUUGUUAUUCUUUCCGGGACAUUUUGUAGCUCUCUAACUCCUUUUAUAGGGUACUUAGCAAACAAAAGCAAUCAGAAUUACAUAAAAUAUUUAAAAAAAUUCUGUCUUUUCUUGACACCUCAUUUGUCUCAAUUUUCAGAUAUUGGUAAUAUUUUUGGGACAUUUUUAAUUUUAAAAUUUUUAUUUGGAAUGAAAUUUGUUUGAUACCUGUGGCUUAAUUUUUUUCUCCAUUUUAUAUAUUUUGCCCAUCGGGGCCGUGGAUACCUGCUUUAAAUUUAUUUGCCCAUCGGGGCUGCGGAUACCUGCCUUUUUUCUUUUUUUCCUCUUAGCCCAUCGGGGCCUGGAUACCUGCUGGUACACUAACCCUCCAUUUUCUGGCCCAUCGGGGCAAUGGAUACCUGCUUUUUUUUUUUUUUUUUUUAAUUAUGUGUGUGUUUGUUUGUUUGUUUUGGCCCACCGGGGCCCUGGAUACCUGCUUUAUUAUUUUUUUCAUUGCCCAUCGGGGCCUCGGAUACCUGCCCUAAUUUUUUUUUUUUGCCCAUCGGGGCCUUGGAUACCUGCUUUAACUUCUUUGAUUUCUUGUAGAAGCUCUUUAUGUAUGGAAAUAUGUCGUUUUCGUGGGUUAUUGUGUUAUCUGGAAUGUCAGCAUUUUUUGGUUGCUGUUUGUUGUGUGUGGUGUGUGAGUUUUAUCUAUGGCUUAGUCAAGGGAAUGACUUUGCAUUUAAGAGGGUGUUGGGCUGUGGAGAAAAAGUGGCCGCCAUUUUAGGUUCGCCGCUGAGUGCUAGUUAGUUGUGCUAUGUAUAAAUUAGGGAGGUGAAGUGGAUAGUGAGCCAGGCGAGGUAGUCAUUUGUGUUACAUGACGGUUUUGCAUGAGUAGGUUUGGAAUUUUUUGGAGCUUUGCAUAAAUUGUGGUAUCUGAGGCAGAAAACCAAGAUCGUGUUCUGUAUCAGUACUUACUGUUAGGUGAAAACGGCAGAGAGCUGAUUUAAGAGAAGGGCUCAAAAUGGCGGUUUGGACCUUGCGGCAUGCUCAGCAUGGCUCUCUGUGCUUUGUUGAUUGCACAAAAUGGCGGAUCCAGUACUCCAAAAUUUCAAGUGGCGGGAAGGCCACAUUCCGAUGCGUCAGGCUUUGUUUUAAUGUACAGGAAGGUGGCGGAUAAUUUUGGUCACGUAAUAAGAGGAUGGCGGCCGAAGUGCUUGCUGUAGUGUAAAAUAUGGCGGGUUUUCUUUGUUUUUGACACGUUGAUUUCAUGGUGAAUUUUGCUUCAGGGCAAUGUGGCGCACGUUGUGAAUGUUCAUAAGAUGGCGCCUCCUCACGUGGGUAACAUGGCAGGUUUUGGUUGGUACGCUCUUGGCGGGUUUUGCACAAGGUGCAUCUGCCCCAUUGUUAAAGAUGGCGGACGUUACCGCCUAGGUCACCCCAUUUUGCCUUGGUAAUGGUGGAUUGCUGUGUGUUUUAACCAAUCAGAAGUGAGAGUGGAACUGGACCUGGCCAAUUGGAACAGAACAUAGAAUUAAAACUGUUGAUGACAGUACCUUGUGAGGAUUUGAGUGAGCCAACAUGGCUCCUCACAAGUUUCCAUAUUCAGCCAUUCAGAAGUGGAAAGGCCACAUUUUAUACCCCUCCUAGUGGAUCACACCCAAGACCCUUCCAACGACAUUUAUCCUUUACAUCUCCCUUCCCUCAAGUUUGAACUCUCAUUUCUAGCAGAGCUUCUUGGAAUCCUAUCCUAUAGGCUAAACCUCACCCAAUUCUCUGUAUUGGUGCCUUGACCUAAAGCUCCUUCCUGGUCUCUGGUCUAACAUGCAUGUGGCCAUGGGCAGUGUUCAAGACCUUCCUGAUCUGGACAUGGUGGUAAUCCAUGGCAGAGACCAUAAAUGGAUCUCUGAUAAUGACUGGCCAAUGGGGGGCAAAAGAGGAACCCCUGCUUUCCUCAAGAGGAAUGCUAAACCCAUGGCUAAUGCUAGAGUUGGAUUAUGAUUUAUAUUAAUUGUUUGGCUAUCCAUCAAGUAUCAGGUUGUUUGGUUUGCUUAGUGUUUGAAUUUAAAUCUUAAGGAGCUAUAGGGGCUGGGGAUUUAGCUCAGCGGCAUAAGCACCUGCCUUGCAAGCAGGCGGUCGUGAGUUCGAUCCCCGGUACCGAUAAAAAUGAAAAAGCCAAAAAAAAAGGAGCUAUUACAGAAAUGGAUUAGCAGCUUUAUUUAUAGAAUUCACUUACUUGCCAUUAACGAGUUUUAAUUUCAGAUUCUUUAACUUCAGUUUCAUUUCAUAAAUCUCUUUAUAUUGGCAGUAUAUAGUCAAAGUCAUUAUUUGGCAUUUAAAAUUUUUUGCUGGUUAUUUUUUUAAAAAUUGGCUUGACAAUGUAUUUCUCUUUAAAUUUUAGAAGCAUUUUGUAGCACAGAAAUAGUAAAUAAAACAUUUAACUUAAUGACUGAGUGUAAAAGAAUAUCUGAAGGUUAACACCAGCCCAGGCUUUGCUUUGUUGGCCCCAUCCUUGAUACUGCACUAAUUGACUAAUGACCUGCCUGUUAGGCAUUAAGCAUGAAUUGCUGUGGUCUGAUGUUCUCCAAUUUAUUAUAUUGGAGUAUUAAUAACCUUAUUUAAAUUUUCAGUGAUUUCAUGCCUUUCUAGCACCCAGCUCCUCCCCAGCCCUGAUCCCAGCAAUUGCCCCGUCCCAAACCCCCUAGGUAUGCCCAUCCCCCUGCCCCUGCCGCUGCCCCUUCCCCAUGCCCCAGCCCCAGCCCCAGCCCCAGCCCCAGCCCCAGCCCCAGCCCCAGCCCUGGGUCCAGCUCCCUCUCCCCAUGGCUGCUUCUAUUUCUAGAGUUAUUCCAAUCUUCAUUGAUUCAGAGACCAAAAUAAAUUGUCCAUUGCUCACCUUGUUAGACCGAGAUAUCCUAUCUGCCUGUAGCUUUGGAAUCUCCAGUGCUGACUGCCCAAGACACCACUUUCAGGUAAUGCGUACAUGAUAUCCAUGGCCUUAUGUUAUAACAAAGAAUUCUCAAUAUGUUAAUGCUAGAAAAUGUUAAUCAAGAUCUUCUAUCAAAGAAGUACUAAAAGUACAGUCCAUAAUAUGACUCAUCAUCUUUUCAGUCCUUUGUCAUUAAGGUAGGAGAAACCAUUCUUUUGUCAUUGCUGCAACAGUCUCAAUUUUUUGAAUAGUGCUCAAUGAUCUAUUCUCAUGAACUGUGUUGACCACCUAAAACUUUGUACUGAGUGUGUGUUUAAUCGUCCAUACUUUGUGCACUGGAUUAGAACCCAGUGCAAACCCCUUUUAGAUUCAACAGAAAGCCUUACACAACCCAAUCUUCUGCUGGACAGUUAAUAUACUUAGUUCCAAUUGUCAGAGCCUUGUCUAUUAAACAAAGGCACCCAAGUACCCUUUUUGCUUUGCUGUGCUUUGGAGAGUCCUGCUGUUCUUUUUUUCUUUUUUUUAAUUUUAUUUAAAAGGAAAAAGAGAAAAACACAAAACAAAACAAAGUGGUGUAAGGGUACACGUAAUACAGAACAAAAAAAAAAAAAAAAAAAAAAAAAAGAACAGCAGGAAACUCCAGGAAGCUGUUCUUGAUAAAGUACAAAACAGUAAUUUCAUUGACUCAUUAAUCACAAAGAUCUCCAAUCCCCCUUUGCACUUGCUUUGAGUCAGUGCUAACUCCCUGAGACCUGUUUCUUAAAUUAUUGGAUAAUAUUUCUUUUCACCUUGUUUACACAACCAUAAGAGUGCCUAUUUAAUUUUCUUUGAGAUAUUAAUGUAUACAAUCAUAACUGUCUGCCUAACAAAAGAAUCACUAUAAAUAAUAAAUUUAUUAAUAUAUGCAUAAUCCUAAUUGAGUAGAAUGGAACUUUUAUGUAAGGAUCUCUAUACCAUCUCUACUUUGUACCAAGAGAUUGCUAAUUACCUAAGGCACCUUCUCCUGAAAUUGCUUUAUAAAAUUUCACUUGUCUUAAAUUUUGGUUAGUCUGGAAACCCAUACUCUUAGGCUCUUUAUUGCAUUGUUGGCACUGUUAAAUUUGCAUUAUUACAAUUGUAGUUCAUUCUAUUAAGAUCUCACGGGGGUACACCUUAUUAACAUUACAGUUGAGCAUUAUAGUUGAGGGUGGUGAGCACUAAGACUCCUUUUGUACCAUUAAUGUGCAUAAUUGCAUUUGGCCGCCUUCUGAGUCCUGAUAUCCUUAGUCUUACUUUGUCUGGUACUGAGCAGUAGAUAAUCUCUACUCCAGACUUCUACAUAGGAUACUUAACGUGAAUCAUUUGGCCAAAUUAUUACAGCAAGGGGUGUUAAUCAGCUACAUCAUUACCUUCUUGGGGCUAUGAAUGCGUAAAAUUUCAAUAUUCAUAGUUCCUCUUUUUAAAAAAGUAAUAAUAAUAAUAAUAUCCCACCCUUUUUGUAUUAAAGCAAGUAAUGCUAACAACCCAAAGUCCUUCUCGGGAUUCUUAGGUAUUUUCAGUUGUCUAUAAUUCCAUCCAAUAAGUCAAUAUCCUGAUUUUUCUGAUUAUAGAAAGGCAUAGCACUUACCUGAAUUCCUUCUGUCGACUGAGUUGUUGAGAAAAGUUGUCCUAUCCAGCCCUCUAUACUUCUUUGCAUAACAGCAGGAGGCACUUCUUCAGCGCUGAAAUGCACUUGAUUAGAAGCAGUUUAAGCCCUUUUAUAUUAGAGUAAAAACCCCAUUUCCUAUCUCUAUUUGCAUUACCACAAAGACUUUUCACUAGUUAAGAUUCACACUCCGACCGUGCAUAUUUAAAUUUACUCCAGUUGUGUCAACCAAUUGAGAACCUCAUUGCUCUAUUUAUAUUCCAGCAGGAAGAGGCUACUACUUCAGACUUUUAAAUUAGUAAGGUCAAUGUGCACAAUCUUAGUUUUUCUGUACAAGCUCUGAAUUGUCCAAAAUUGUGCCUUUUAGGUCAGAACUCUAGUAUUUAUCAAAGCGCAGAAAGCUAACUAACAUAAAGCCCUGCUCUUAAGACUCUAAAUAGUACAUAAUUGCAGUCCUCACUGGUCCUUCAAGCUCGACUUUUGCCCUUGACCCCUUUUAUAUCUUCUUAAACUCACUGUGUGAGGUGGUAUUUGCCUAAUGCUCUUUUCUUCAGCUUUUUAUGUGCAUAAUGGCAGUUAAGGUCUUUCCCUUUGAUGCUUUGUUUGAAGUACAGCAGGGUGUCCUACAUCCCCAUUUUGGAGCCUGGGAGUGUAUUUGUAUGGAAUUCUUUGCAUUAGGAAAGGAACCCACCUCCCAUCCGCCUGCCUUUUCCUUCCAGCAGGAACUGCCCACUAGGAAAGACCUUUACAUUUGAAAAUUUGGGUUCCGCAUUGUAAUGAUAACCAUACACCUUGAAUACUAGUAUUCAUGACUUCACAUGGCUCAUCAUUUGAAUAAGAUUCUGCCCUAACACUCACUUUACAUUACAGCAGUGGUGCUUAUUAAUAGGACUUCUGUUAUUGGCCUAUUAUACAGGUGAUUUUAUUUAUUUAGGUUCCUGUAUAUUAGACAAGGAACUACCCCAAAGCCUACCCUGUCUAUCUCCUUUCCUUUGCAAGUGGUUAUGCUAUAAAACCAUUGCAGUUACACAGCUAAAUUAUACAGCUGUACUGACUGUGUCUAUGCACCUUGAAUACUAAUGUAUAUAGCUCAUUCCAUUUGAAUGAGAUCCUCCACUCAGCUCCUUUUGCAUUGCAGCAGGGAUGCUGAUCACUAAGGUUCCUAUUUCUUGGUUUCUUAUAUGAGUAAUUAUCUUUGUCUGAAUUUCUAUGUACUAGACAAGGAACCUUUCCUUCAGCACAUCGCUUGCCCUCAGUCUCCCCUGUUUGUCUUCCUUUCCUGACCAACAGGGACUUCCUAUUCCAUAAGAACUUUAAAAUUGCACAUUCAGAGUGCACAGUUGUAAUAACCACAACCACGCACAUGGAAUGUUAAUGUGCAUACUUGCACAUGAAUCACUAUUUGAAUAAGAUCCUAUUUUUAUCUGCUUUUUUAAUACAGGAGGGGUGCUGAUCACUAAGGCUACUAUUUUUGUCCUGUUAUGUGGUGAUUGACUUCUUAUGUUCUAGACAACCCCAGCCCAAACCCUACCUUCCUUUCUGUGUCUUCAUUCAUUCCCUUCUAGCAUCGAAUCCCUAAGUCAAUGUGACCCUUGUACUUGAAAAGUCAGGGUGAAUAAUUGUAAUGACUACAACCCUGAACCUUGAUAUGAAUGUACCUUACUACACAGGACUCAUUUCAUUGGAAUAAGAUCCUACUCUCAGCCUAUUUUGCAGUACACCAGGGGUACUGAUCACUAAGGCCCUAGCCUUGGUCUUAUAUAUUGGUGAUAAUAUUUGUCUGGGUUCCUAUGUACUAAUGAAGAAAACUUCCCACCCUCCAACUCUGCCUUGUCCUCCCCUUUCACUCUUCCUUUCCCUUUCAAUAGGGACUGCCCAUACAUAAAACCCUUAUAGUGAACAGACACCUCAAGGGGCACAAUUAUAAUGAUCAAAGCCAUGCACCUUGAAUACUAAUGUACAUUAUUGCACAUGGCUCAUCUCAUUGGAAUAAGAACCUAGUCUCAACACCUUUUGUAGUACAGCAUGGGUGCUGAUAACUGUGUCCCUAAUCUUGGCCUCUUAUGUGGGAGACUGUUUGUCUGAGUUCCUAUGUGCUAGACAAAGGACUUUCCCCACAACCCUACUUUGCUCUCCCUUAUCUAACUUGCUUUGCCUUAGAACAGGGAGUGCCCACUGGUAAGUCUCUUGUAUUUGACCCAUCAAAGGGCACAAAUAUAAUGAUCAAAAUCAUGCACCUUAAAUUGUAACGUGCAUGACUGCACAUGGCUCAUCUCAUUGGAAUGAAAUCCUACUGGCAGAAUUUCUGCAGUAUAGCAGAGGUGCUGAUCGGGAAGGCCCUUAAUCUUAGCUAGUUAUAUGGGUGAUUGUGUUUGUCUGAGUUCCUGUGUACUAGACAAACAAACUGUCAAACACGUCAUACACCUCUGUAUCCCACCCUCCCCUCUCCUAUCCAUCUUCCAUUCCUUUCCAACAGGGACCACCCACAAUAAGACCCUAACAUUUAACCCAUCAAGGUGCACAGCUAUAAUGACCAGAAGCAUGCAUCAUGAAUGCUAAUGUGUAUAACUGCACUUAGCCCCCUUUGCAGUACAAACAGGAGUACUGAUUACUAAGGCCGUAACCUUGGCCUGUUAUAUGGAUGAGUAUGAUUGUGUUGAGUUCCUGUGUACUAGACAAGUAACCUUCCCACCCUCAACCCUUCUCUGCCCUCCCUUAUCUAUCUUCCUUUCCAACAGGGACUGCCCACUCAUAAAACCCCUUACAUUUGAUGCGUCAAGGUGCAUAGUUGUAAUGACCAACCAAAACCAUGUACCUUGAUUACCAAUAUAUAUAACUGUACAUGGCUUACCUCAUUGUAAUAAAAUCCUAUUCUUAGCCCCUUUAGCAGUGCAGCAAAGCUACUGAUCACUAACGCCCUAAACUUCGCCUGUCAUAUAGGUAACUCUGAGUUCCUGUGUACCAGUCAAGGAAUUCUCGCACUGCCUAACCCUGUCCUGCCCUCCUCUAUCUCUUUUCCUUUCCCUUCAAAUGGGACAGCACAAUCAUAAGACCCUUACACUUGACCCAUCAAGGUACACAACUGUAAUGACCAAAACCAUGUACCUUGAAUAUUAAUGUGCAUAACUGCACAUGGCUCAUCUUACUGGAAUAAGAUCCUAUCAGUCCCUUUUGGAGUACAGCAAGGAUACUGAUCGUUAUGGCCCUUAUCUUGGCCUAUGUUUGUCUGGGUUCCUGUGUACUAGUCAAGGAGCCUUCCCACCUACCAAUCUUGCCUUGCCCUAUCUAUCUUUGUUUCCCUUAGUACAGGGACUGUGCCUACAGGUAAGACCCUUACACAUAGCCCAUCAAGGUGCACAACUGUAAUGAACAAAACCAUGCACCAUGAAUACUAAAGUGCAUUACUGCACAAGGCUUAUGUCAUUUGAAUAAGAAUACUAAAGUGCAUUACUGCACAAGGCUUAUGUCAUUUGAAUAAGAACCUAUUAACAGUCCCUUUUUUUUUUUGCAAUACAGCAGGGUUACUGAUCACUAUGGACCUAAUUUUGGCCUUAUAUUAUAUGGGUCCUUGCGUUUGUCUGAAUUUAUAAGUACUAGAUAAGGAACCUGCCUUAUCAGCCUUGCCCUGCUCUGUCUCAUGAAACUUCCUUUCCCUUCCAACAGGGACUGGUCACUCAUAAGACUCUUGUACUUGUCCACAUUGAGGAGCACAACUGUUAAGACCAUAACCAUAUACCUUAAAUGCUAAUAUGCAUAACUGAUUGUGACUCAUCUCAUUGGAAUAAGAUCCAACUGUCAGAAUUUAUGCAGUAUAGCAAAGGUGCUAAUCAUGAAGGCCCCUAAUUGUGGCCUGUUACGUAUGUGAGUGUGUUUAAGUUCCUGUGUACUAGACAAGGAACCUUCCUCAACCUCCAAGCCUGCCUUGCUUGCCCUUCCCAUCCAUCUUUCUUUCCUUUCUAGCAGGGACUGCCCAAUCAUAAGACCUUUACGCUUAACCCAUCAAGGUACACAACUGUAAUGACCCAAACCAUGGAACUUGAAUACUAAUGUGCAUAACUGGACAUGCCUUGUGUCAUUGGAAUAAGAACUUGUUCUCAGCCACUUUUGCAGUACAGCAGAGGUACCAAUCACUAAGGCCCCUAAUCCUAGUCUAUUAUGUGGGUGAUUGUGUUUGUCUGAGUUCCUGUGUACUAGACAAGGAACCAUCAUUUCCAACCCCAACCUGCUCUCCCUCAUCAAUUUCCUUUCCCUUCCAAGAGGGUCAGCCCACUCCUAAGACCUUUAUACUUAACCCAUCAAGGGGCACACCUUUGCUAAUGUAUGCUAAUGUAUGUAACCGCAUGUGGUUCCUCUGAUUGGAAUUAGAUCCUAUUCACAGUCCCCUUGGCAGUAUAGCAGAGGAAUUAAUGACUAUGGCUCUGAUCUUGGCCUGUUAUAUGGUUGAUUGUGUUUGUCUGAGUUCCUAAGUACUAGACAAAGAAUCUUCCCACUCUCUAACCCUGCUCUUCCCUCCCCAUCUCUCCCCUCCCCCAUCCAUCUUUCUUUCUUUCUUUUCUAACAGGGACUGCCCACUCAUAAGACCUUUAUACUUAUCAAGGGGCACAACUGUAAGGACCAAGACUAUGCACCUUAAAUGGUAACAUGCGUAGCUGCAUGUGGUUCAUAUUACUGCUAUAAGAUACUAUUUUUAGCCCUUUUGCAGUACAGCAGGGGUACUGAUAACUAAGGCUCCUAAUCUUGGCCUUUUACAUGGGUGACUGUGUCUGAGUUUUUGUGUACUAGAUGAGGAACCUCCCCACCCCCCAACCCUGUCCUGCACUCCUUUAUCCAUCUUCCUUUUCUAACAGGGGCUACCCAUGCAUAGGACCUUUAUGCUUGAUCCAUCAGGGUGCACAAUUGUAAUGACCCAAACCGUGUACCUUGAAUACUAAUGUGCAUAACUUAACAUGCCUUAUAUCACUGGGAUAAGAUCCUGUGCUCUGCCCCUCUUGCAGUGCAGCAGGGGUACUGAUCUCUGAGGCCCUAAUCUUGGCCUAUUAAAUGGGUCAUUGUGUUUGUCUGAGUUCCUUAAUACUAGAGAAAGAAGCUUUUAUACCAACCCCUCUUUGCUCUGUCUCAUCCAACCUUCUUUCCCUUCUAACAGGGACUGCCCACUCGUAAGACCUUUCCACUUAACCCAUCAAGGGGUACAAACAAAUGGAAGGACCAAAGCCAUAAACCCUGUAUGCUAAUGUGUGUAACUGCACAAAGUCAUCUCACUGGAAGAAUAUCCUGUUCUCAGCCCCUUUUGCAAUACAGCAGGGGUACUAAUCACUAAGGCCUCUAAUCUUGGCCUGUUAUGUAGAUAAUAGACAAGGAACCUUCCCACCCCCAAACCGUACCCUUCCCUCCCCUGUCCAUCUUCCUUCAUUUCUAACAGACACUGCCCAGUCUUACGACUUGUAUACUUAAUCUAUCAAGGUGCACAAUGGUAAUGAUCCAAACUACGCACCUUGAAUGUUAAUAUAUGAUAAUGUGCGUAACUGCACAUGGCUCAUCUCUUUGGAAUAAGAUGCUAUUGUCAUCCCCUUUUGCAGUACUGCAGGGAUGCUGAUCACCACGGCCCCUAAUCAUGGCCUGUUACAUGGGUGAUUGUGUUUGAGUUCCUGUGUACUAGACAAGGAACCUAGCCACCCCCCAAACCUGCCCUGCACUCCCCUAUGUAUCUUCCUUUUCUAACAGGGGCUACCCAUGCAUAGGACCUUUAUGUUUGAUCCAUCAGGGUGCACAAUUGUAAUGACCCAAACCGUGUACCUUGAAUACUAAUGCACAUAACUGGCCAUGCCUCAUGUAUUUGGAGAAAGAAAGUAUUAGUUCCUUUUACAGUACAGCUAAGGUACUGAUCACUUGGCUCUAAUCUUGGCCUGUUAGUAUGGGUCAUUAUGUUUGUCUGAGUUCCUGUGUGCUACACAAGGAAUUGUCCCUCUAGGCCUCAUUUGAAUAAAGUCCUACUGUCAGCCCUGUUUGUCAGAUAGCAGGGUUAAGGAUUAUAAACCUGUAUGUAGUAUUGGCCUGUUUUAUGGGUGAUUGGGUCUGUCUCAGUUCCUGUAUAGUAGACCCUCUCCCCAACUCUUCUGUUCCUUCCUUUAUCCAACUUUCUUUCUCUUUCAAAAGGGAUUCCUUACUCCAUAAGACUCUUACAGUUGGCCAGUAAAAGAGCACAAUAGUAAGCACUAAAAUCAUGUGUCUUGAAUACUCAUGUGCAUGACUAUAUGUGGAUCAUCUUAUUUGAAUGAGAUCCUGUUUUUAGCCCGUUGUUGCCAUAUAACACGGGUGCUGACUACUGAAAUCUUUAUUUUUGGCCUUUUAUGUUGGUGAUUAUAUUUUUCUGAGUUUCUGUGCAUCAGACAGGAACAUUCCUUCAUAACUCUUUCCUGCCUUCUCCCAUCCAACUUCCCUUCCCUUUUACUGGGAUCUGUCUAUUCCAUAAGACCUUUAUACUUUGCCAGUCAAUGUGCAUAAUUAUAACGAUCAAAGUCAAGCACCUGGCACACUUAACUUUUGUAAUUGCAUGUAAUUUGUAAUAAGAUCUUACUCUCAGCCCCUGCUGGAAUACAGCAGAUGUAUUGAUUGUUUGCUAAGGUUGCUGAUCUUGGCCUAUUGUAUGUUGAUUAUGUUUGUCUGAAUUCCUGUGUAUCAGACAAGAAACUUUCCUCCUCAGCCCUGCUCUCUCUUCCCCCGCUUCAGCUAAUGUUCUCUUCUAGCAGGGAUUACUGCGUUACAGUUGAACAGGCAAAAUGUAUAAUUGUAAUAACCACAACUGUGCAUGUUGUUUCCUCAUGUGCCUUACAGCCUGUGGUUUAUCCCAUUUGAAAACGAGCCUACUUUCACCCUCCUGAUACGCCAGGCGUGCUGAUUAUUAAGGGCAUUAAUCUUGGCCCAUUAUAUCAGUGAUUAUAUUUGUCAGAGUUCCUAUGUACUAAAUAAGGAACUUUUGCCUCCCCCAUCCAACUUCCUUUCCCUUCCAGCAAAAACUGCUUAUAUGAAACCCUUACAAUGAAUAGUAAAGGUGCACAGUUCUAAUUAUGACAGCUAUAUACCUGGAAUACUAAUGUGUGUAACUGCAUAUGGUUCAUCCCAUUUGAAUAUGAUCUUUCUUGCAGUCUCUUUUCCAAUGCAGCAGACAUGUUAAUCACUAAGGCCCCUAUUCUCCGCCUGUUACAUGGGUUGUGUUUGAUUUCCCAUGUGUACUAGACAAGGACCUCCCUUCAAGUUCUCCCCUGCCUUCCUCCAGCCUACUUUAUAGGACUCUUACACUGGCACAGUCAAGGUACAUAACUAUAAUGACCAGAGUCAUGUACCUUAAAUACUAAGGUGUAUAACUGUUCAUGAUUCAUCCCAUUUGAAUAAGAUCCUACUCUCAGCCCCUUUUGCAAUACAACAGAGAUGCUGAUUAUUAAGGCUCCUGUUGGUCUGUUAUGCGGGCAUUUAUGUUCAUUUGAAUUCCUGUGUAUUCGACAAAGAACCCUCUCAACUCCACCCUGCCCUCUCCCAUCCAUCUUUUCCUUUCUGAGUAGGACUGCCCAGUCCAUAAGACUUAUAUUUGAAUAAUAAAGGUGACCAUUUAUAAUGAUCAUAGUCAUAAACCUUCAAUACUAAUGUACAUAGCUGCACCUGGUUCAUCCUAUUUGAGUAAAAUGCUUCCCUCAGGCAAGCCUUUUGCUGUGCAGCAGUGUUGAUCACUAAUGCCCGUAUUCUUGGCUUAUGUAGUCCUUUAAACUUGUCCAGGUUGUUGUGUACUAUACAAGGAAGCUUGUGCUCUGAUCCGUUUUCCAACUUCAGAGAUGAGUUCCAUAAAACAUUAUACUUAAACCAUCAAAGUGCACAGUUACAAUAACCACAACUAUAUAUAUUGAAAAUUAAUGUGUAUAAUUGCACAUGGUUAAUCUCACUUGAACAAGAUCUUUCUUUCCAGAUGCCUUUUUCAGUAAAGCAAGGAUUCAUUAAUAUAACUGUCCACCCCUAUUUGGCAUAUUAUUUUGAUGAUUAUAUUUGUCUAGGUUUCUGUGUACUAGACAGUGACCCUCUUCCCUUGCUUCCUCUUCCCCUGACUUCUAGCAAGAUGAGGGCUCAGUAACCCUUAGAUUUAAAUAGUCCAGAUGCACAGCUGUAAUGGCCACAACCAUGCAUUUAGGACAUUAAUGUUUAUAACUGCAUGUGGCUCAUUCCAUUUGAGUAGAUAAGAUCUUAUUCUCAAGCCCUUUGCAACAGAGCAGGAAUGCUGUCCCUAAAGCCUCUUUCCUUGUUUUUUGUUUUGUUUUUUUUUUUCAUGUUUUUAGUUACUGGAUAAGGGUACUCUAUCCCCCCCUUUUACUUUUCAAAUGAUAGUGCCCGCUGUUAUAAGAUCAUUAUACUUGUGCAAAAUAUGCAAUUUUAUUUGUCGCAGCUAUGUCUCUGGGACAGUAAUACAUAUCAUCAGGACAUAGUUCAUCUAUGUAGCUAGUACUUCCCUCUUGCCCUUCAUUUGUAGCAUACCAAAGUUUCUUACUUCGAAGUCCCUUUUUUGUGACCUGUUACUUGCAGUUUCAUCAGUCAGGGAGACAAGAACACUCCAUUGCUUGACUUCUGUUUUUUAUAUGAGCAGUGGUGCUUACUUUUUAAGACUUUUACUUUUGGACAAGUAAUGUGCAAUUAUUGCAGUUGUCCACAACUCUGUUAUUUCUAGGACCAUUGUACCUCCUUUGCACUAUUGCAGCGGGUAUAUACAAUUGAAAUCUUCUUUUGUCUUUGUCAGGGAAAUAAUAACCUCCACAUUUUGUUUGGUUUACAGCAUAAUGUUGAUAACCAAAGUCCUGAUUUUAGGCUUUUAAUAUAUAUAAUUGCAUUUGUUCUUGUAUUGUUCACUAGAAAAUGACCCCACCUAUUUUCUUAGUGUUUUCAGCAGAAAGUGCCCACUACUCAAGAGUCUUGCACUUGAAAAAUUCAUGUACAGACACAUUUUCUAAGCAUGUAUUAUAUCAAAACUCUUGUACCUUUGCUUUAAAGCAGAGAGAGAUGCUUUCUUCUAGUAUCUUUUCUGUUGGGCUUCAGUGUGCAUUAUUAAUAUAAUUGUCCCUCCCUUUUUUGGACUAGAAUUUUUAUCUUAUACCCUCUUUGCAUCAAGGGCAUGUUAAUGAUGAGCAAACUUUCUCAUGUGAAUAGUAACAUGCUUAACUACCUUUGAGGAUUUGUGUAGUAAAAAAGGGACAUGUUAGAAUUUCUGCCUCUUGAUGACUGCUAAGGAGUGCUAUUUAUAACUGCUGCCCUUGAACAAUUAGUGUACAACAAUAAGCAACUAUAAUUAUCCUGAGCACUGAUCAUUAGAUAGGAACCUGGGCCCUCUGCAUGCAUCAGAGGUGUUGAUCAAUUAAGACCUCUUGGAUUGUUAGUGUGAAUAUUCUCAGUUACACACGCCUAGGUUACUAUAUCCUUAUUACCCCUCUUUGCUUUACUGUAGGAGCUGCUGACCACCCAAAACAUUUCUUGAGACUGAUAACGGCACAAUGGCAAUUAUUAAUGUAUUUUUUUUCUCCUAAAAUUAUCUUGGGACUGUCAAUAGGUACAAUGGCAAUCAUAAAUUGUUAUUUUUCUUUCCUGGCCCUAUUAAACAAUUCUCUCCAGUUUCCCAUGGCAUUAAUAAAGUACAAACAUUGCAGUAUGCCAUGUACUUAUGCAUUAAACAGUCAUGCAUAGUUUCAUACCCCUUGUUUUGGUAUAUAAAAUCCCAAGUAGCCAUGGUCUCACCAUUUAUACAAGGUCUUCCCUCUCCUGGCCCUUUGUCUGCCUUGUAUUCCUUCUUAUGGACUAUUAUAAAUGCUCAUAAUCUGGCCAUAGAUAUGAUUAUAUCCCUCUCCUUUUCCCUUAAAGCAGCAGAAUACCCUGCCUCUUUUGCCUCUUUGCUGGAUAAUACUGACUGGGCAAGUACCUUUCCCUUGGCCUUACUAAGUUUAAUAAUCCCACAUGUUACUGGUUUACCCACUUGGUAUGGCUGUAAUGUCUCAGCUAUAUCUUCCUUGGUCCUGCCCAUUAUACAUGUAGUUCUCCACUUCUUUAUAUUUCUUCUGAGUAGAGCCAGUUACUCAAAGCCCUUGUGUGUGAUUAGUGAAAAUAGUAUAUAUUGUUCCAUUUUUUUACCCCAUCAGUCCCAGAUCUCCCUAUAAUUUGAUGUGUUGGUGCAGUCUUAAUUAUUAAAAGCAGGCCUGACCUAGGUUGGGUGAGCCUUCACUCUUUAUUCUAUUUGUUAAUUAUCUCAGUUACAAUUAUUGGCAUAUUCUGGGGGCAGGAACGAUUCCUGCUGACCCCUGUUACUGUUUUAUUGUGGAAAAAAUUCAAGUCAAGUGAUGCUUAAAGCACUGGAUUUUGCCACCUUCUAGUUGUGGUUUUCAGGUUUUCAGUAUACAGUAUCAACUGAAAAACUCCCCAAGCAGGAAAAUUAGCACUUUAUCUGCAUUUUUCCUCUCAGAGCAAAUUACCUCCUUAGGAAUCCCAAGUCUUGUCCUUUGUGUGUUGCUGUUGUAUAGUGCUAGUGGCCAGGUUACAACCAGAAAAUUUGCUCUUGUUUUUAUUUUUAGAGAAGGACAUUUGGAAUAAAAAGUGGAAUUGAUUACCUGUUCACUAGCUUUUAUUGGAGCCAAAAAAAAUCUGUUGUCUCAUUUUACUGGGUUAGAUCAAUAUGAAUCUUACUAUCUUAGUAUUGUAUUACUACAGGAAUUCUCGAGUGAAACUUUUAGCACCAGAAUGUUUGUUGGGGCUGUACUACAAUGUAAGAACCGAUUUUUCUUUGGGCUUUACCAUGGUUCACUUUUAGGAAAAUUAUCUCAAUUUUUCAUCCUUAAAUAUCUUCAUAUUCAGCAUUAGUCCUUAAUUCAAGAAGAUUGCUGUAAAUGGAUUAAAUGAGAGAACAUACACUGAGAUGCUUUUAAAAACUAUAAGGCACCUUAUUUGAUUAAUCUAUUAUAUAAAAUGCACCAUUUAAUUCUGCUAAUAAUUUGAAGUAUUUUGCAGAACUAACCUAAAGUAAAGACUUACUCUAAAAUGAUGGGAGCUGUUUCUCCAUUUUAAGACAAAUGAGUCAAGAUCUAAUCAUUCUACUAAGCAUAAACUUUUAACAAGUGUAAUACAUGCUUAGUAAGUAAAAAAGAGAAAGUAUCCCAUCCUCUAAGUGUCUGAGACAGUGAUGGCAAACUUAUGGCACACUUGCCACAGCCUAUUGUUAUCAUUGAAAGCUUUAAAAGGUUCACCAUCACUGCUGUAAGGUAUUUGGUGGCAAUUCAGUAUUUAGAAUGAAACAGAUGAAAUCAAAUAACUGGUCACAACAGACAUUCUUUUAUAGUCAUUGAGAAAAGAUACUAUUCCUCAAGAACAGACACACAACAGACAUUCUUUAUAGUCAUUGAGAAAGAAUACUAUUCCUCAAGAAGGACAUCAAAAGAUCUUCUCAGCUUGGGGUGCAAUUUGCACUACUAGCUACUUGAACAGCUAUAAGAAGAGUUGCUGACUUUUUAGAAUACGGAUGAAUUUGGAGCUGGUUUCUGCACCCUGAUUCAAGAGGAAGGAUGACUUGAUUUUAGGUGAAUUGGUGACUGCUAGAUAGCAUCCUAAGGGUGUUUUGGCUCAUGCCUGUAAUCCUAGCAUGUGGGAGGCUGAAGCAGGAGGAUCUCUGAAUUUGAGGACAGCGUGGGCUACAUAGUGAUCCUACCUAAAAAAAUGAAAAAAAUUCUUUAGGACAUUCUAAGCAUGUGAAACCUGAGGACUAUGGACAGCUAGGCAAGACUCCAAAUUCAGAUUUUUCCUUUUGAGAAUUUGGACAAGAUUCAGCUACUCUUGCAGGCCAUCUGGAGAAACAGAUCUUCUUUGGGAGAAUAGACUUGUUGCUUUGCCGUGCUAGUGACCUAUUCCCUUUGAUGAUCCCUAGGUGGAGAUGGGGCAUGAGGAUCCUCCAGGGGAAAAGCUCACUAUCACUAGGCAAAACCCUAGGUCUGGAGUUUUACUAGUUUUCCUAGACCCAGAUAGAAAGAUGAAGAUGCGAAGACAGCCAGCAUACAUCAAGAUGGGAGAACAUGGACAACAACUGCCACAUCAACAAUACUGAUUUCGUGAGCAAAUCAUUCUUUCACCUGGUCCUCAGUUUCCUUUGAAGCCCUCUUUACAGGAGAACUUUGCCAAUCAUUUAUAAACUUAAGGUUCCUUGUGAUGUCCAUGGGAUAUUACCCACAAUAAGCUGUUUGAAAAGAUAAAUGAGAAUUGUGUCUUUUUAUGUUAUGCCUGCUGAUUAAUGGACGCUUCAUUACUACAAAUGGAAACCUAACCAAACACAGCACACAAUUAUUAUCAGUCAUAAAUGUGUAUUUCUCUGCUUGUCCAUGCCUUCCUUGAAUGUCUUUGUGCUUCUCUACCUUGAGUGUGUCUUCUUACUCAUUUCCAUGUUUGUCUUGUUAAUUUUCUUUGUGUCUUUUUCUCAUUUUGUUCGUAAGUAUGGCCUGUGCCUUGUCUUAGAUGUAUAUAUCUCUUUUUUUUUUUUUCUCAUUUUGUUUGUUUCUCUUUGUUCUCCUGGAUCUGGCUUUUCUUUUACUUACUCUUUUAUGUCUCCUCUUUGGUCACAUGUUGUGUGUUUUUCUUGCACUUUGCUUAUUGUUCAUACCUUGCUUCUUUUUGUCCUUGUGAAUUGUGAUCGUCACUUUCCUCUUUUCUUGGUUUGACAUUUCAGCUUUUUUUCUGAUCCUGUCCUCUUUUCUACUCUUUCUAUUCUUUUUCUCACAUUUUUCUUUUCUGCAUUUCCUUUCUCCUUUUCCUUUUCCUCCUUUGUGUAUCAGUGUCUCAGCUGUUUGUGAUUUUCUAUUUCAGCAUUACUGUCUGAUUGCUUACAUUACUUUUCUGCUUUUUCCUUUUCUCUUUUCUACACUUGAAUAUUUCAGCUUCUUCAUGAUUCUGUGUCUGCUCUUUGCUUUCAUGUAAUCCUCUCUUGGAUAUUGCUUUGUUUUUAUGGCCAUAUGUACAUGUAUGUGUGUGCACUAUGUGUGACAGAGGAGCUCCCUAGCACCUUUCCAAUAGAUGCAGAAUGUUGGCUAUCAAAACAAGAAUUGCAGAGCUGUUCCUCGUGUCAGGCUGUCCGGUAAAGAUGAUCUUACACUAAAAUACGUCCCUCGGAUCAGGACUGAAGUGAAACUCAAAGCCUAAGAGGAGCAAGAGGUAGACGGUUCAAAAUGGAAGACAAAUGGUUGGACAUGAAAAGUCCAUGUUCCAAGACAGGGGGAAGUCACAGGCCUGAGACCAUUAUAAAUCUCAAGAGCCAAGAUACAUAGAAAGUAACCUCAGUUACAUAGAAAGUAACCUCAGUUGGAUGGAAGGUUCAAGUCUUGAGUUAGAAGGCCAGAGAUCUAGGAUAACAAAGGCUCUUUCUGCAGGACAAAUGGAAAGUUUAACAAUUGGGACCUAACACAAGGCCUAAGAACUGAGUCAGCCUAAAUGGCAUGGUUUCAAGACAUAAAAGCCAAGGAUAGAAAACUUGAUACAGAUAAAACCCAGAAAUCAAGCCUCUCUACAUGGACAGAUGGGCUAAGAAAAACAGAUUUCAAGGCUAAAGACUGGAAACUGGAGGACUGUGACUCAGAACUCAGGAAGGAGAAACUCCAAGAACAGGGAAAUUCCAAGAUGAGAACUGUAAAUCCAAGCUGUUUUCUAUUGUUAUACUUCUUACUCUUGGACAAUUUUAGUUUCCCCCUUCCAUUUGUCUUAUUUCCAUCUAAUAUUGCUUCUUUUGAGAUGUGUUUUUUGUUGUUGCCUUAUACCUUAAAAGAAUGUGUCUUUAAAUUAACAGCAUUAUGGAUGACCAAUCUUGAGCCCAUUUUUCAUCACAGAUUUUAGCCAUUCAUUAAGGCUUUAGUGUUUUAUAGACUUCCAUUUCUCUUCACAUAUAUUCAAAUUGAGAAGGGCACCAAAAUCCAGUUGCUAUGGAUUAAGCCUUUUGUUACUUCACUCAAAAGCAAGCAUCCAUUUAAAUAUUUUUCAGUGUUUUCUAUCCUUGAAGCCCUAGCUGAUGAAAGAGUAAAAGCCUCAGGUUGUGUAGGGAAGAAAGUGCCAAGCUAUCUAGAGAUAAUGUGAAGAGAUACUCCAGGAUAAUGAGAACAAUUAGACAAGUAGACAGAUGUUCCAGCCUUCUGAGAAGCACCAGCUGGCUCACCACCCUUCUUUAGGCUUAAGUGAACAGGAUUCCUCUUAAUUUCUAGUAAUGGUUAUGAAAGGGUGAUUGGGCCUUGUACAGAGUGAGAUCUGAAUUCCCUGCUCAUAAUAGUGGUCAAAUAAUUAAGGCAUUGUGCCAAACCUAUGCCUGGGUUUAACACCCAUCUCUAGACUUCAAGAUGAGAGAACCUGAAACUGUUGGGUAACAGGGUUAAUCUUUUCCUUGGUUUCAAGUUGAUUUAGAGAAGUUGAUGUAAAUGAUUGACAAUAUAUAUGAAGUAUAAAUAACAAGAAAAAAAGUAUGGUGUGCUCAUUAAUAUAGUAUUGGCAAUAAGGCACAGCUAAUAUUUGAAUUAGCGAUCAUCACAUUUUGUUCCGUAGGGGGUCAGAGUUUAAAUACUUUAGAUUUUGCAGGCUAUAUGAUCUUUGUUGCAGAGUAUUAAUCUUUUAAAGAGAUAAGAACCGCUUAGUUUCUGAGCUAAGUGGGUUUGGCUGCUACCCAUGCCAGAGAAUCUUUUCAGAUGAUAUAGGUUUCCUUCUUGGUGCCUAUCCCUGUCCAGGUAGUAGGAUGCAGUGACGCUUUAUGAUCAAAUCUAGGUGAUCUGAAGAAAAAUACAUGAGUGUGCUUUAUAAACUAAAACACAUAAAAAACUUGUGAAUUUCAGUGUUGAUGAAUUUAACGACAUACUUUCUACUGUAUUAUGCUCUAUAGAUAUGAAGAUUAAAAGAAGCAUAAAUAAAAAACGAAUAUAAUGCUCUGUAGACAUAAUAAGUGUUCAGUAAGUGAAUAAUUUUGUAUAUUUGAGGCCAAUGUGUUUCUAAUGCUUUGAUGAUUCCAGUUAGCAGAAAAUAAAACAUAUGAAAACUGAUUUAAACUGGAAAAUAUACUGCAAAUAUAAAGCAUUUUAAGCCAUUGUGGUAACUUCUAGUGUGAAAGUUAUCAUGCUAAGCAAUAGAACUACCAAAGUGACAGAUACUCUCCUGGAAAAAAAAAUUUCAGAAGGGAAGCACAUAUUAAAGUACAUAUUGAAUUAAAGCACCAUAGAAAUAAAACUUCCUUACUUGUUUAUGAAUGAAUGAAUAUUAACUACCUCUUAAUACAUACCUACUAUUGUUUGGAUACAUGAAAUUCUAGAUAAAUUCUACCAAGUGAUUCUCCCAUGUAAUAAGAGGAAAGCUCAUGCUCUGUAUUAUUUAGAUAUAAGGAAAGAGAACUUACUGAGUUUAAUCAGUCAGGAAUUUACUGGCAAAAUCAAAUUAAAUUGAUAACCAGUGUAUUUUCCCUGGUGACAGAGAAAAGAUAAGGGAAUAUACAUGUGCUCUAUAUACUGUAAGGUGCUAUGAAAGACAUUUUAAAUAUUUCUGUAUGACUAAAACAUUCCUGUAAUAUAGGCAUUUUUUCUAUAAGAUUCUUAACUGUAUUCUGGACUCACAAUGAGAAGGAUACUAUAAAUAGUUACACCAGCUUCGUGCAUUGGUAUGUACAUCUGGUUCCAGCACUUGAGAGAUUUAGGCAGGAUCACAUGAGUCCAGCCUGGAAAACAUAAUGAGACUAAAACUAAAGACUAAGCAAUACAUAUGUCUUAAGGUUCUGUGAACUUGAAUAUACCAUAUAAAUGUAACUAUUGACUUACUCAUUUGGUGCUAAAUGCUAGGUUUAUGAAAUUGUAUCACAGCUGUUAUAUGAUGCGAAUAAAGCUAAAAUUGUUAAGUUUUAGCUAUUGAACAUUCAAUAUUAAUAUGUAAGUCAUCCAAUAAUGAAUACAAGCAUGGAUGAUUAUCAAUUUUGUGUCAGUGUCCUUGAUAGGCAUUGAGGAUGCAAAGAUAAAUUACGUAUUGUUUCCUGGAAAGCAGUAGAAAUUAUGUGUAAAAAGAAUUUAUAAUUUGUAAACUGCCAUUCAUUUAUAAAUAAUAUCUGGUGAGUAAUAGGGAUUAUUUACUGUUAUCCCUAGAGGUAGUAACUAAAAGCACUAAAAUUGAUUUUUGUCUUUAAACCUGCAACACAGGUCUGUGUGUAAAUAUACAAUUUGGCAUUAACUGUCGGUUUAAUCAGUGAACAUGAUUUCUGUCUGUGAGAUACAGAACUGCAUACCUUGGGAUAUAAAAAUGAUUUUAUUAUUACCAUCCUUUUAUUAUCCAUUUUAUUAUUAUCAUCCUGUGGGUACAGAGUACUCACAAGAGAGAAAUUCAGUAGUAGAUAUGAGAUCCAGACCAAAAGUCCACUUCACCACUCCUUCCUUACUCAGUGAUGAAGUCAGGAAGAAAGUAGAAUUGAUGAAAUGGAAAGGUGAUAAAUUCUAAGCUAAGUGGAGGAAUAAAAUUUUUUCUAGAUUAUUUACCAUCUGACUUGAUUGAGAAAGUGGAUUUAAAAUACAAAAUCAAGAUGUUAUGAUUUUCCAUUCAGUUUCUUAUUGAGUGCUGCUGAUCAAGGUGAAUUAAAACCCCCUUGGCCUGGCUUAGAGAGCUUUAUGAAGUGGUAAUCAUUUUAAUUUAUUUGAUAUACAAAGCUUUGUUUAUGUGGGAUAUGCCUUCUAGGUCCUAACUAUAAAUUAGGUGAAAUGGACCUAAUAGAGGGAAUAAGAUCAUUGAUCAUAGCUGAAGGCAGUAAACACCUUUAAUUUGAUUAAAUAAUAUUUGGCUCUUCAAAGUAGCUUGAUAAAUUAAGUAGGUUUGUUCCAGAGGACCCAUUGACUUGGAUAUUGAAAAUCAAAAAAGGCAAUAUUCAUUCAAUACAAAAUGGAGGCACUUUUUAUAGCUCCAGAAAACCACAAGAAGCACUUACUGUCCUAAAGUUAAAAGGUUUGAGGAGAAUCAAGAUGAAACAACUGGUUUUGGAAUGCUUUUGCUCAUUCUGUGACUCAGAUUCAGGACAACACUUGAGCAGUAAAAAAUGUAUUCAGUUACCAUGUUUAGUUUUUUAAAAUUUUAUUAAAUCUUAGUGCUAUUACUAGAUGCUGAGGAGAAUGAACAAAUUUUAAAACCAAAACCAAAGUACAGUUUAUCUCUGUAGCUUAAUGAUGGGAAUAUGACACAGUGAAAAAUGACAAUUCUUAGUUGAAAAAGUAUUAAACAACUAUAAUAUGUAAGACACGGGUAUGAUGAGAUAGACCACCUUGUUGGCAUGUUUGGUAUAAUGGGAGUCAGAGGAGUUUCUAUUUUCAUUCAUAGAAGUAUUGCUAAGAUGAUGCUAAGUACUAAAUGAAAUUAUUCAAAGAGCCACCUGGUCUGACUUAGAGAGGGACUAAAAAAGCACCAUCUAUAAUGUAAAGCCAGUGUAUUAUUCCUGGACAGAAAAUAAAGAUCCUGACUAUCACUUGUUUAUUGGCUCAGGGAUUAAGACUAUAGGAUGAACAUGACCAAUGAUUUAUUUAUUCAUCCAUUCUACAAGUGUAUUUGGGUAUCUAUUGAAUAUAAGAUUCUUAGAUCCUUUCCUGGCCCCAGAGACAAGAGAAAAGUUCCAUGCCUUCACAGAGAACUUCCAAAACUUUCCUCUUUGUGAGGUUUUCUGGUUAUGAUAACAGCUUGGUCCCUAAAUAGUGCUGUGUAAUUUAGUUCCUACUUAUAUCUUCUAUUCUGGCCACUAUGAUGAGCAGGUUGCUGACUUUAGAGGUGAACUUGUUCCUUAAGUUGCUGGAACCAUUAAUAUAGUAGAAAAGUUUUUGCUAGUCUUCACCUCAUGUAAAAUUAUUGACUAAUGAUGGCAAGAAACAUGAUGGCCAACUAGUUCUCAAACCCCAGUCUCUGGAAAUGACCCAUUCUUGAGCUGGUUAUGAAGUGCAUUUAAAAAAAAUCAUUUACAAGUUUUGUCUGUUUUUAGUUCUUUUUUAUAGACUGGUGCGUGUACAUCACCUCAGUAGGCUUUUCCCAGAAAUAAUGCUCAGAUGGCACAUAAGUAGAUUUGAGAUAGAGGCAUGGUUUCUCUUACAACAGCUCAAUUUGUACUUUAGAAAUGUUCUUGCAGGGCCGGAGAUUUAUCUCAGCGGCAUAAGUACCUGCUUGGCAAACACUCCGGUACCAAAAUACAAAAAAGUUCUGGCCAUUAAAAUAUACUUAAGGGCUUGUUAUGGUAAAAUAUUAUCAGUGGAUGAAAAUAGCUGAAACAUUUACUAAGCUUGCUUAAAAUUUAUAGUAAAAUAAAAAUUGGAAAUAAGUGACAAAAAUUCGAGGAAAAAUGCCCUCUAAAUGCGUGCUUGACUGGGCUUUGAUCUUUUCUAUUUUGCAAUCACUCACAGAGGGUGGGGCAGGAGGAAGAGUGAAGGAAAAGGUCAAACCUCUGCCAGGGCAAACUUCAUUUUUUCUGGAUUGGUGUGAAGAGUAUUACUAGCUCAAGGUCUAAAUUGAGAUUGCUUUUCUAAGUUGAAUGCAGUUCAAAAACUGAUCAUUGUUGACAUGAGGAACUGACCUGUUACAUUCAUCUAAGAAAUAAUUUUGUUCAAAUGGUUGCCACCUAAGCCUUGGGUUAGAUAAGAAUGUCUUAAUUGAAUCAGUGUGACCCUUCUAUCAUAAGGUAGUCUUAAAAAUCAGAAUUUUACUCCAAAAUAAGAGGACCUUAUUGUUCACUGUUGGUCAUACAUACAUUGAAAUUGUCUAAACUGUAGUUUGCACGGCAAGCCAAGAAUGGCAUCUAUAAAUGGAGAAGGAAAUAGAUAAAUGGCAAAGGGUAGCUGGUGGACAAAGUUGAAAAAGGUCUGGGGGUGAAAUUUUCUAGUGGUGUUGUCAUCUGGGCCCAGGCACAUUCCUUUCUUUAACUGGGGUGGUGAUUUCCUGACUGACUGGAAAAUAAAAAUGAGAAACUAACUGAACCUUCCUUUCAACAGUUUCUGCAACUAUUGAUUAAGAAUGAAAGAAUGUGCACUCAACACCAGCUUUUGUCAUGUUAAACUGGGAACAAGUCAGUUGUAGAGGAAAUGACUUUGCAUCUUCCUUUCUACCUCAAAGAAAAUCUACAUCAAAAUGCUAGAAUUCAAAACGUUUUGGACUUGCAAACUAAUGUAUAAUACAGACUGUUGAGUACUGCCUGUUUGCAAGCUUUGAAAAUCUUGCUUGGCAUAAAUGCCCAUCAAAAAGGAAUGUAAAGUUACUUACUUACCACAUCUAGAUAAAUUUGGGAGUUUGUUUUUCAGUGUAAAAUAAAAUAUUUUGUUUUGAAAA
This is a long non-coding RNA of Cavia porcellus (domestic guinea pig), 23926 nucleotides long. RefSeq lists it as uncharacterized. NCBI's taxonomy places the organism in Eukaryota, Metazoa, Chordata, Mammalia, Rodentia, Caviidae. The transcript is spliced from 7 exons. The record is from RefSeq and is a predicted model, not a curated record.